ACAGCAGCCUCCGCAGCCCAGCAUGGCGAAGGCAGCCGCAGGGCUCUGCACCCUCCUCCUCCUCGCUGUGCUGUGCUGCGAGAGCCAGGCUCAGAGAGCCCCAGCCGUGCCGGACAAGUGUUGCUUCAACUUCCAGAUGAGAAGGAUCAAGAGAGACAACAUCGUCGCCUGCUACCCCACCAGCCCUGAGUGCCCCCACCAGGCUGUGAUCUUCAGGGUGAGGAGCGGGAAGGAGAUCUGCACCCAGGCGAGCAGGGCCUGGGUGAAGAAGUACCAGCAGAGCUUCCCAGUCAGCUCCUUCUCCAUUCCCAGCUAGUGAGGUGGCCGGAGGCAGCACGAGGAGUCCCUUCCAUGGGGGACAGGACACUGCGAAGGUCACCCCUUAGCAGAGGUGGCUGCGGGGACACCACGUUUGGGUAUAGCAGCUCACUGGGGACAUCCUUCCCAUCAUGUUAUGACAACCAUCAUCAUCUUUCCAAAGGCAAAGGGCAGCAUCCCACUGGGAUGGGGUGUGCUGACUCCGUGGGGCAUUGGGGUCCAGCCCUGCUGCCAGCCCCAUGCUCUCAGCCCUGCUUGGCAUGCAGGCAGCUGCCUGUACCUCUCACAGGCAGCAGCAGCAUGUCAAGGCUGUGCUCACUGGCCUGGCAGCAGCAGAGGGGUUAAGGGGGAGCAGCUCCAUGCUUAUAUUUUGUACAACACACAGAAGAGAAUUAAAUGUGAUCUCAUGCAUGCAAA
This 735-nucleotide long non-coding RNA is filed under the name Strigops habroptila (Kakapo). RNAcentral describes it as "lncRNA (ENSSHBG00005006425.1)". The record is from RNAcentral. Lineage: Eukaryota; Metazoa; Chordata; Aves; Psittaciformes; Psittacidae.